This 735-nucleotide long non-coding RNA is filed under the name Mytilus galloprovincialis (Mediterranean mussel). Lineage: Eukaryota; Metazoa; Mollusca; Bivalvia; Mytilida; Mytilidae. The record is from RNAcentral.
UUUUUUUUCCAAAAAAAACCAUAGCCCCCCCCAGAAAAUCAAAUGGUUGCUGCCUUAGCAAACAAAGGGGUAACUUCCAAGAGCAUGAUGAGGACCUCAUUACAAGAGAAAACACCAAUAGCAUAAUAUAAAAAAAAAACACAUAACAAAUUAAUUACAAACAAACCGUGCACCGCAACAAAGUUCCUAAGAAUUGUUGAAAAUUACAAACUUACCACAGCGCUAUAUAUCCAAAAAUCCUGUGGAGAACACUGCAGUUGUAUUACCUAGACACAUCUAAUUAUUUGGCCUUGCCCUUCUGUUGCAUUUGUUAAGUUUAGCUGGAUCAUAUCUAAAUUUAUCGCUUAAGUAAACAAAAUCAUUGUUAAAAUUAGGAGUAAGCUUACUUUCUAUUUGGACUUCUCUUGAACUGAAUUUUAAUGUGCGUAUUGUUAUGCGUUUACUUUUCUACAUUGGCUAGAGGUAUAGGAGGAGGGUUGAGAUCUCAUAAACAUGUUUAACCCUGCAGCAUUUUCGCGCCUGUCCCAAGUCAGGAGCCUCUGGCUUUUGUUAGUCUUGAAUUAUUUUAAUUUUAGUUUCUUGUGUAUAAUUUGGAGUUAAGUAUGGCGUUCAUUAUCAUUGAACUAGUAUAUAUAUGUUUAGGGGCUAGCUGAAGGACGCCUCCGGGUGCGGGAAUUUCUCGCUACAUUGAAGACCUGUUGGUGACCUUCUGCUGUUGUUUUUUCUAUGGUCGGG